Molecule: ribosomal RNA, 482 nt
Filed under: uncultured bacterium
Lineage: Bacteria
Description: partial 16S ribosomal RNA
Rfam family: Bacterial small subunit ribosomal RNA
Source: RNAcentral
AUUGAACGCUGGCGGCAUGCUUUACACAUGCAAGUCGAACGGUAACAGGCCGCAAGGUGCUGACGAGUGGCGAACGGGUGAGUAAUGCAUCGGAACGUGCCCAGUCGUGGGGGAUAACUACUCGAAAGAGUAGCUAAUACCGCAUACGAUCCAUGGAUGAAAGCGGGGGACCGUAAGGCCUCGCGCGAUUGGAGCGGCCGAUGUCAGAUUAGGUAGUUGGUGGGGUAAGGGCUCACCAAGCCAACGAUCUGUAGCUGGUCUGAGAGGACGACCAGCCACACUGGGACUGAGACACGGCCCAGACUCCUACGGGAGGCAGCAGUGGGGAAUUUUGGACAAUGGGCGCAAGCCUGAUCCAGCAAUGCCGCGUGCAGGAAGAAGGCCUUCGGGUUGUAAACUGCUUUUGUACGGAACGAAACGGCUCUGGUUAAUACCCGGGGCUAAUGACGGUACCGUAAGAAUAAGCACCGGCUAACUACGUG